Molecule: ribosomal RNA, 547 nt
Filed under: uncultured bacterium
Lineage: Bacteria
Description: bacterial SSU rRNA
Rfam family: Bacterial small subunit ribosomal RNA
Source: RNAcentral
UGGGGAAUAUUGCGCAAUGGGGGGAACCCUGACGCAGCCAUGCCGCGUGAAUGAAGAAGGCCUUAGGGUUGUAAAGUUCUUUCGGUAUUGAGGAAGGUUGAUGUGUUAAUAGCACAUCAAAUUGACGUUAAAUACAGAAGAAGCACCGGCUAACUCCGUGCCAGCAGCCGCGGUAAUACGGAGGGUGCGAGCGUUAAUCGGAAUAACUGGGCGUAAAGGGCACGCAGGCGGUUAUUUAAGUGAGGUGUGAAAGCCCCGGGCUUAACCUGGGAAUUGCAUUUCAGACUGGGUAACUAGAGUACUUUAGGGAGGGGUAGAAUUCCACGUGUAGCGGUGAAAUGCGUAGAGAUGUGGAGGAAUACCGAAGGCGAAGGCAGCCCCUUGGGAAUGUACUGACGCUCAUGUGCGAAAGCGUGGGGAGCCAACAGGAUUAGAUACCCUGGUAGUCCACGCUGUAAACGCUGUCGAUUUGGGGGUUGGGGUUUAACUCUGGCGCCCGUAGCUAACGUGAUAAAUCGACCGCCUGGGGAGUACGGCCGCAAGGUUA